CGAAGGAAGUGGUGUAGCAAAUCUUACGAGCCUACGAAUAGAAACCUAAUGAGGCUAAAUGGUGGAUAAGGUUGCAUAUCAAACCGAAGUCCGAAAGGUAAACGUAAAACCAAGACAGUAAAUCAGGAGGUUGUGAAGAGAAAGAUAU
This 148-nucleotide non-coding RNA is filed under the name uncultured Clostridium sp. The record is from RNAcentral. Lineage: Bacteria; Bacillati; Bacillota; Clostridia; Eubacteriales; Clostridiaceae.